This 849-nucleotide ribosomal RNA is filed under the name Oceanobacillus sp. RAS71. RNAcentral describes it as "bacterial SSU rRNA". It matches the Rfam family "Bacterial small subunit ribosomal RNA", at positions 194 to 1029 of the family's 1533-position model. The record is from RNAcentral. Lineage: Bacteria; Bacillati; Bacillota; Bacilli; Caryophanales; Bacillaceae.
GGAAAGUUGAAAGGCGGCUUCGGCUGUCACUUACAGAUGGGCCCGCGGCGCAUUAGCUAGUUGGUGAGGUAACGGCUCACCAAGGCGACGAUGCGUAGCCGACCUGAGAGGGUGAUCGGCCACACUGGGACUGAGACACGGCCCAGACUCCUACGGGAGGCAGCAGUAGGGAAUCUUCCGCAAUGGACGAAAGUCUGACGGAGCAACGCCGCGUGAGUGAUGAAGGUUUUCGGAUCGUAAAACUCUGUUGUUAGGGAAGAACAAGUUGGGUAGUAACUGACCCAACCUUGACGGUACCUAACCAGAAAGCCACGGCUAACUACGUGCCAGCAGCCGCGGUAAUACGUAGGUGGCAAGCGUUGUCCGGAAUUAUUGGGCGUAAAGCGCUCGCAGGCGGUCCUUUAAGUCUGAUGUGAAAUCUCGCGGCUCAACCGCGAACGGUCAUUGGAAACUGGAGGACUUGAGUACAGAAGAGGAGAGUGGAAUUCCACGUGUAGCGGUGAAAUGCGUAGAGAUGUGGAGGAACACCAGUGGCGAAGGCGACUCUCUGGUCUGUAACUGACGCUGAGGAGCGAAAGCGUGGGGAGCGAACAGGAUUAGAUACCCUGGUAGUCCACGCCGUAAACGAUGAGUGCUAGGUGUUAGGGGGUUUCCGCCCCUUAGUGCUGAAGUUAACGCAUUAAGCACUCCGCCUGGGGAGUACGGCCGCAAGGCUGGAACUCAAAAGAAUUGACGGGGGCCCGCACAAGCGGUGGAGCAUGUGGUUUAAUUCAAAGCAUCGCGAAGAACCUUACCAGGUCUUGACAUCCUCUGCUAUUCCUAGAGAUAGGAAGUUCCCUUCUGGGACAA